Long non-coding RNA from Chroicocephalus ridibundus (black-headed gull), 2227 nucleotides. RefSeq lists it as uncharacterized. The record is from RefSeq and is a predicted model, not a curated record. NCBI's taxonomy places the organism in Eukaryota, Metazoa, Chordata, Aves, Charadriiformes, Laridae. The transcript has 4 exons.
UUCUGCGAGGGUGACCUGCGGGUGGCAGCAGCUGCUCACAGGUCCCUCGGCCCGGGCUGAGCAGUGCCCGAGCACCGGGAAGACUGCAGAGCCCUUCCCGGGAGAGCAGGGACCACCGAGCUACAGGGUGGUGGUCCAAGGGAGCCCUCGAAGGUGAGGGUGACACGGAAGGGCUGUCAUGCACCAUCGCCUGUGACCAGGAAGGAGACUUUGCUACAAAGGAGACCUUAUGCCAACCUGAUGGCCGCUUCCAGGCAGAAGUCAGGCACGAUCUCUCUGCUUCCGCAUUGAAAACCGUGAGAUAUGACAGCUCUAUCAUCUGGGUGCUCCCUGUGUGAAUAGCAUACAUCCCCCAAGACACAUCUAUUGCAGCAUCCAAGCCAAACCCGGAUGGGCUGAUUCCAGUGUGGUGACAUCUGAAGCGCAUUCCUAACAACCAAGAAAGUACCAUCUGAGAAAGGCCAUGGGGAAAAAUCUGGAGGGGAAUCAUUCACUUGUGGUGCUAGAAAUGUGCAUGAGCGGAGGAGUGCAGAGAAGAUGGCACUGUGAUUACUGACUUGAUGUGCCACUUGGAGGAGGAAAGUCUGGUGAGGAACCAUCCCCAACGUCGUUAAGUGGGUAUGGUACUGCUGCCCAGAAGGAGGAGCGCCAGCAUUUUCCAGAUCACUUUGUCAUCCCUCUCAAUACCAGAGAAGUUCAGUGACAACAAAAUGCACUUUAUUAUGUUAAAAUGAAGAACUGAAAAAAAUAAUUUCUGGAAUUAAAAAAAUAUAUAUGCAAGCAUUAGAACAGAAACUUGCAUUUAUAAUCACUGGUAACAUUGGGGUGGACUCCUGAGAUGCCCCUCUGUGCACUCUGGGCUGACAGAACUAGUCUGUAGCUGUUAAGGUUGUCCCAGUCCAUCGAGUGCACCCUCAUACUCCAGUACGUGACGCCAGGCAGGGGUCUUAAUCCUGACGUUGCAUAUAUCCUUAUUUCCUGGAAAUCCACUGGUUAAAAACACACUCUUCAGACUUCCUGGUAACGUGGAGUGUUGAAAAUGAAUUAAUUAUGAUAUAAAUUUCUUCUCCUUGUGUUAAUUAAUUUCAGCAAAGAACAUGUAAGCUGACCUCCCGUAGCUGGUGAAGCAGAGCAGGUGGAUACGCAUUUCAGUGUAUAGCAGUUACUGGAGGUAAAUCAACCGCACUGAUUGCAGAGUCUCCUGGUGUGUCUCAAGUGGAAACGCUGGAGCCAGCUACUUUUCUCCUCACGCUUCAGGAUGGCUGAGAUGACUCUCUCUUGCCAGCUUUGCUUAGCUAAGAUUUUUCUAGUAAAUGGUGCAUCUUAAUAACACAAGGUUACAGAUAUACUGGAGUAACACCUUAAUAACCUGUCAAUGCCAAGUCAGGUGGCAAGAUUUAAUGCAAUAUUGCUAAUAGUGGUUUUAAGGGUGGGAUGCCACGUUGUGCUCGCUAGUAGAUCUGGGAAGCUUCAGUGCUGAAGGCUCCAGUGCUGUUGUAAUGUGGGGUCUGGAGGCUGCUCUUGCACAGAUAACGUCUGUCAGGGUGUCAAAAACUCAUGAAAGUUGUGAAUUUCCCUGCAUUCCGGAUGGGAACACCUUGGGUCGUUUACCAGCACUUUGCACUGUACAAACUCCGUGACAUCAGUUCCAUAUUUUAGGUGCCUUCCAGAAAAGCAUUAUUUCAUGCUCUGAAAUUCCUUGUUAUUUGCUGUAGUGGACACAUUUGGAGCCAAGGUCUGACCGGGUGGCUUCAUCAGCCUUUCGGGAGAACGGAAGACUUGCUGAUUGUAACUACAUAUUUUGGCAUUGGACCUUCUCUUCCUGCGAGCUGUGACUAGCCUGUCUGUUGGUCGUGCCACAUCUGUCCAGCCACUGAUGGCAUCUCAGAGAGAGCACUGAGGCACUGUGCUACAUGUGUAUGAUUUUACUGAUUUAAAGCCCAAGACCUAAGGGUAUGGAGAACUGCUCCAGCUGCCUGAAUAAAACUGCCCAGCACAACCACUGAAACCCAAGGGCUGCUGCUCUGUAUGGAGCAUCUUGCUAACGAGCAGCAGGACAAGGAGUACAACACACGCCAUCUAAUGCCUGGCAUAUGCCCUCAGUGUCAGCGAGAAUUUAAUCUUUAGCGUUAUUCCCUUGGAGUGUUUACCUGCCUCAUAAUACUUAAGGGAUGCCCUUGGCUUAGCAUGGGAAAUGACAUAAACGUCGGAAGCGUCAGACCACUGU